RNAcentral lists this ribosomal RNA (495 nucleotides) under uncultured bacterium. Its description in RNAcentral is "partial 16S ribosomal RNA". It matches the Rfam family "Bacterial small subunit ribosomal RNA", at positions 28 to 507 of the family's 1533-position model. The record is from RNAcentral.
GAUGAACGCUGGCGGCGUGCCUAAUACAUGCAAGUCGAGCGAACGGACGAGGAGCUUGCUUCUCUGAUGUUAGCGGCGGACGGGUGAGUAACACGUGGAUAACCUACCUAUAAGACUGGGAUAACUUCGGGAAACCGGAGCUAAUACCGGAUAAUAUUUUGAACCGCAUGGUUCAAAAGUGAAAGACGGUCUUGCUGUCACUUAUAGAUGGAUCCGCGCUGCAUUAGCUAGUUGGUAAGGUAACGGCUUACCAAGGCAACGAUGCAUAGCCGACCUGAGAGGGUGCUCGGCCACUGUGGCACUGAGACGCGCUCCACACUCAUACGGGACGCAGCAGUAGGGUAUCCUGCGCUAUGGGCGAACGCCUGACGGCGCCACGCCGCGUGAGUGAUGAAGGUCUGGGGCUCGUAACACUCUGUUAUGAGAGAAGAACAUAUGUGUGAGUAACUGCGCAUCUUGACGCUGUCCCUAAACAGAGCGCCGCCUAACUCUGUG